Molecule: ribosomal RNA, 494 nt
Filed under: uncultured bacterium
Lineage: Bacteria
Description: partial 16S ribosomal RNA
Rfam family: Bacterial small subunit ribosomal RNA
Source: RNAcentral
GACGAACGCUGGCGGCGUGCUUUAGGCAUGCAAGUCGAACGCGAAAGCCCCUUCGGGGGUGAGUAGAGUGGCGAACGGGUGAGUAACACGUGGGUAACCUGCCCCUCGCAGGGGGAUAACCGGGGGAAACCCCGGCUAAUACCCCGUACGCUUGCUGGGGCGCAUGCUCCGGCAAGGAAAGGUAGCUUCGGCCAUCCGGCGAGGGAGGGGCCCGCGGCCCAUUAGCUAGUUGGUGGGGUAACGGCCCACCAAGGCGACGAGGGGUAGCUGGCCUGAGAGGGGGGUCGGCCACACUGGGCCGGAGACACGGCCAAGACUCCUACGGGAGGCAGCGGCCAGGAAUCUUGCGCAAGGGGCGAAAGCCGGACGCAGCAACGCCGGGUGGGCGAUGAAGGCCUUCGGGUCGUAAAGCCCUGUUGUCGGGGACGAAGGGCGAAGGGUUAAUAGCCCCUAGCCUGACGGUACCCGACGAGGAAGCCCCGGCUAACUACGUG